AGAGUUUGAUCCUGGCUCAGGAUGAACGCUGGCGGCGUGCCUAAUACAUGCAAGUCGAACGCUUUUUCUUUCACCGGAGCUUGCUCCACCGAAAGAAAAGGAGUGGCGAACGGGUGAGUAACACGUGGGUAACCUGCCCAUCAGAAGGGGAUAACACUUGGAAACAGGUGCUAAUACCGUAUAACAAUCGAAACCGCAUGGUUUCGGUUUGAAAGGCGCUUUUGCGUCACUGAUGGAUGGACCCGCGGUGCAUUAGCUAGUUGGUGAGGUAACGGCUCACCAAGGCAACGAUGCAUAGCCGACCUGAGAGGGUGAUCGGCCACAUUGGGACUGAGACACGGCCCAAACUCCUACGGGAGGCAGCAGUAGGGAAUCUUCGGCAAUGGACGGAAGUCUGACCGAGCAACGCCGCGUGAGUGAAGAAGGUUUUCGGAUCGUAAAACUCUGUUGUUAGAGAAGAACAAGGAUGAGAGUAAAAUGUUCAUCCCUUGACGGUAUCUAACCAGAAAGCCACGGCUAACUACGUGCCAGCAGCCGCGGUAAUACGUAGGUGGCAAGCGUUGUCCGGAUUUAUUGGGCGUAAAGCGAGCGCAGGCGGUUUCUUAAGUCUGAUGUGAAAGCCCCCGGCUCAACCGGGGAGGGUCAUUGGAAACUGGGAAACUUGAGUGCAGAAGAGGAGAGUGGAAUUCCAUGUGUAGCGGUGAAAUGCGUAGAUAUAUGGAGGAACACCAGUGGCGAAGGCGGUUCUCUGGUCUGUAACUGACGCUGAGGCUCGAAAGCGUGGGGAGCAAACAGGAUUAGAUACCCUGGUAGUCCACGCCGUAAACGAUGA
Molecule: ribosomal RNA, 832 nt
Filed under: uncultured bacterium
Lineage: Bacteria
Description: bacterial SSU rRNA
Rfam family: Bacterial small subunit ribosomal RNA
Source: RNAcentral